Molecule: ribosomal RNA, 492 nt
Filed under: uncultured bacterium
Lineage: Bacteria
Description: partial 16S ribosomal RNA
Rfam family: Bacterial small subunit ribosomal RNA
Source: RNAcentral
AGUGAACGCUGGCGGUAGGCCUAACACAUGCAAGUCGAACGGCAGCACAGUAAGAGCUUGCUCUUACGGGUGGCGAGUGGCGGACGGGUGAGGAAUACAUCGGAAUCUACUUUUUCGUGGGGAAUAACGUAGGGAAACUUACGCUAAUCCCGCAUACGACCUACGGGUUAAAGCAGGGGAUCUUCGGACUUUGCCCGUUUCAUUGAGCCGUUGUCGGAUUAGCUAGUUGGCGGGGUAAAGGCCCACCAAGGCGACGAUCCGUAGCUGGUCUGAGAGGAUGAUCAGCCACACUGGAACUGAGACACGGUCCAGACUCCUACGGGAGGCAGCAGUGGGGAAUAUUGGACAAUGGGCGCAAGCCUGAUCCAGCCAUACCGCGUGGGUGAAGAAGGCCUUCGGGUUGUAAAGCCCUUUUGUUGGGAAAGAAAAGCAGCAGGUUAAUACCCCGCUGUUCUGACGGUACCCAAAGAAUAAGCACCGGCUAACUUCGUG